UUUAUUUUUAUUCUGUUAUAAGAAUUUUAAGAUUGAUUCUGUCUUAUAUAAAUAUAAUUAGCUAUAUUUUAUUAUUAUAUACGAGAUUUUUCUGGAUUUAUUUUUUAUCUUAAGGGUAAUUUUUUAUUUUUAAUUGUAGUUUUUAAUUUUAAAUAUU
Molecule: ribosomal RNA, 157 nt
Filed under: Homoeocerus marginellus
Lineage: Eukaryota; Metazoa; Arthropoda; Insecta; Hemiptera; Coreidae
Description: partial small subunit ribosomal RNA
Source: RNAcentral